AUGAACGUUGCAAUUCCUACCUGCAAAUUACCUACCUUGAAUGCUAUGGAUUUAAAAGGUCAUUACUUCAACUACUUUACACGAACAUUGCAAUUCCUACCUGCAAAUUACCUACCUUGGGAAUGCUAUGGAUUUAAAAGGUCAUUACUUCAAAUAUAUUACAUGAAAGUUGCAAUUCCUACCUGCAAAUUACCUACCUUGGGAAUGCUAUGGAUUUAAAACGUCAUUACUUCAAAUAUAUUACAUGAAAGUUGCAAUUCCUACCUGCAAAUUACCUACCUUGGGAAUGCUAUGAAUUUAAAAGGUCAUUACUUCAAAUACUUUACAUGAACGUUGCAAUUCCUACCUGCAAAUUACCUACCUUGGGAAUGCUAUGGAUUGAAAAGGUCAUUACUCCAAAUAUAUUACAUGAAAGUUGCAAUUCCUACCUGCAAAUUACCUACCUUGGGAAUGCUAUGGAUUUAAAACGUCAUUACUUCAAAUACCUUACAUGAAAGUUGCAAUUCCUACCUGCAAAUUACCUACCUUGGGAAUGCUAUGGAUUUAAAACGUCAUUACUUCAAAUAACCGUAUUUCUUCGAGUGUUGGUCUGUGAAAUUCGCACAUAUGGGUAUCCACUGUGCCUGCGCAAGACUUCGGAACAUUCUAGAGCUUGAAAGAGCAGCAAAAUGGAGGUAGCCCCGCUCCUUCUCCCCAUAAUAUAACCCCGGGGGCGGGGCUACGUCUCAAUUCUCAGCCGCCAAGAUAGCAACUGAAAACAAGGUAUGACCCAGCGGGGAGGAAGGGCGGGGCGGUGCGAAUUUCACAGAUCGACACCCAAAGAAAUACGGUUACAGGUAAGCAACUUAUACUUCUUCUACGUGCUGUCUGUGAAAUACGCACAUAUGGGUGACUAGAAAGCUACUAACCUGGAGGUGGGUCAUGCCACGCAGGAAAAAAGUACGGCCCUGCCAAAAGCAGCCUCUUUCUUCACCUGGAUAUCCAGCUUGUAAUGAGCCGCAAAGGUGGAAGGCAUCGACCAGGUAGCCCCCUUACAGAUGUCCUCUAGGGGAACGCCAUGAAGAAAGGCUUGAGAGUUAAACAGUGCCCUGGUAG
RNAcentral lists this long non-coding RNA (1095 nucleotides) under Anolis carolinensis (green anole). RNAcentral describes it as "lncRNA (ENSACAG00000041560.1)". Lineage: Eukaryota; Metazoa; Chordata; Lepidosauria; Squamata; Anolidae. The record is from RNAcentral.